UGGAGCAAGAGCGCGACUGACGGUACUCAUCUUCAGAGGUGAGAGCUGAGGAAGCUCCCAACUACGCGUCGACGCCGGUCCUGUGCGAACAGGGAGGUGAGAGCCUCGCUCUGGGAACAGAAACGACACCCCCGAGCUAGAGAUGACAAGGAUACAGCAUCUGAAGCUGUUGAGGACUAGUUCGGACGGGAUGAAACGGCCCAUCACCGGGUAGCAACUCCAAGAAUACACCUGCGAUGUGUCGGCCUGAGGUGUAGGGUAGGAGGCUUAGUCUGAUGUCGCGAAGCUCCUCUCUGGUAACGGAUUGGAGCAGAACAGAAUUGGGGCUAUUCCUUGCACCA
Molecule: RNase P RNA, 341 nt
Filed under: Candidatus Thorarchaeota archaeon SMTZ1-83
Lineage: Archaea; Promethearchaeati; Candidatus Thorarchaeota
Description: RNase P RNA component
Rfam family: Archaeal RNase P
About the family: Ribonuclease P (RNase P) is a ubiquitous endoribonuclease, found in archaea, bacteria and eukarya as well as chloroplasts and mitochondria. Its best characterised activity is the generation of mature 5'-ends of tRNAs by cleaving the 5'-leader elements of precursor-tRNAs.
Source: RNAcentral